Molecule: ribosomal RNA, 535 nt
Filed under: Leptosphaeria sp. 1 AE-2013
Lineage: Eukaryota; Fungi; Ascomycota; Dothideomycetes; Pleosporales; Leptosphaeriaceae
Description: eukaryotic LSU rRNA
Rfam family: 5.8S ribosomal RNA (bases 181-334)
Source: RNAcentral
GUAACAAGGUUUCCGUAGGUGAACCUGCGGAAGGAUCAUUAUCUAAACAGCGGACUUCGGUCCUUGCUGCACCCUUGUCUUUUGCGUACCGUAUGUUUCCUCGGCGGGCUUGCCUGCCGGUUGGACAUUAUCAAACCUUUUUGUAGUUGCAAUCAGCGUCAGAAAAUAAACAAUAAUUACAACUUUCAACAACGGAUCUCUUGGUUCUGGCAUCGAUGAAGAACGCAGCGAAAUGCGAAAAGUAGUGUGAAUUGCAGAAUUCAGUGAAUCAUCGAAUCUUUGAACGCACAUUGCGCCCCUUGGUAUUCCAUGGGGCAUGCCUGUUCGAGCGUCAUUUUGUACCCUCAAGCACUGCUUGGUGUUGGGCGUUUGUCCUGCAAAGGACUCGCCUGAAAGCGAUUGGCGGCCAACGUACUGGUGGUAGAGCGCAGCACAAUUUGCGUCUCUCCCUUCUACGUCGGCGUCCAUGAAGCCUUUUUUCAACGUUUGACCUCGGAUCAGGUAGGGAUACCCGCUGAACUUAAGCAUAUCAAUA